CCUACGGGCGGCAGCAGUGAGGAAUAUUGAUCAAUGGACGAGAGUCUGAACCAGCCAAGUAGCGUGAAGGAUGACUGCCCUAUGGGUUGUAAACUUCUUUUAUAUGGGAAUAAAAUGUUCCACGUGUGGGAUUUUGUAUGUACCAUAUGAAUAAGGAUCGGCUAACUCCGUGCCAGCAGCCGCGGUAAUACGGAGGAUCCGAGCGUUAUCCGGAUUUAUUGGGUUUAAAGGGAGCGUAGGUGGAUUGUUAAGUCAGUUGUGAAAGUUUGCGGCUCAACCGUAAAAUUGCAGUUGAAACUGGCAGUCUUGAGUACAGUAGAGGUGGGCGGAAUUCGUGGUGUAGCGGUGAAAUGCUUAGAUAUCACGAAGAACUCCGAUUGCGAAGGCAGUUCACUGGACUGCAACUGACACUGAGGCUCGAAAGUGUGGGUAUCAAACAGGAUUAGAUACCCCUGUAGUC
RNAcentral lists this ribosomal RNA (460 nucleotides) under uncultured bacterium. RNAcentral's name for it is "partial 16S ribosomal RNA". It matches the Rfam family "Bacterial small subunit ribosomal RNA", at positions 338 to 795 of the family's 1533-position model. The record is from RNAcentral.